ACACUCCUACGGGAGGCAGCAGUGGGGAAUUUUGGACAAUGGGCGAAAGCCUGAUCCAGCCAUGCCGCGUGCAGGAUGAAGGCCUUCGGGUUGUAAACUGCUUUUGUACGGAACGAAACGGCCUUUUCUAAUAAAGAGGGCUAAUGACGGUACCGUAAGAAUAAGCACCGGCUAACUACGUGCCAGCAGCCGCGGUAAUACGUAGGGUGCAAGCGUUAAUCGGAAUUACUGGGCGUAAAGCGUGCGCAGGCGGUUAUGUAAGACAGUUGUGAAAUCCCCGGGCUCAACCUGGGAACUGCAUCUGUGACUGCAUAGCUAGAGUACGGUAGAGGGGGAUGGAAUUCCGCGUGUAGCAGUGAAAUGCGUAGAUAUGCGGAGGAACACCGAUGGCGAAGGCAAUCCCCUGGACCUGUACUGACGCUCAUGCACGAAAGCGUGGGGAGCAAACAGGAUUAGAAACCCCGGUAGUCCCAUGA
This 476-nucleotide ribosomal RNA is filed under the name uncultured organism. Its description in RNAcentral is "partial 16S ribosomal RNA". It matches the Rfam family "Bacterial small subunit ribosomal RNA", at positions 333 to 800 of the family's 1533-position model. The record is from RNAcentral.